Long non-coding RNA from Eptesicus fuscus (big brown bat), 379 nucleotides. RefSeq lists it as uncharacterized. NCBI's taxonomy places the organism in Eukaryota, Metazoa, Chordata, Mammalia, Chiroptera, Vespertilionidae. The transcript has 2 exons. The record is from RefSeq and is a predicted model, not a curated record.
AUCAUCAGCAUCACCUGUGUGCUGCCAGACUUGCAGUGUCUUGAGCUUCACCUUAGACCUCAGGGAUCAGACUGUAGUUUAACUGGAUCCCCAGGUGGUUCUUAUGCAAGUUGAUGUUUGAUAUGCUCUGCUCUGCUCUGGAAAACGAUAGCAGGAAAGCAUGAUAAGCUGAGAUGUGGGCCAUGAGCUCCAGGACCUAUUUCAGAUUUUAGUUACAGCUGUGGGUGUGAUACAUCACUCAAGAGUAUGAAGACCUGAGCUUUUACAUCUGUAGCUUCUUUCCUCUGUGUCUUUAGUCCUCUUCCCAGUAGUAACUGCUCUCGAAAGUGAGCAUAGGAGAAUCUUCUGCAAUUGUGAAUGAAGUUGAUAUGGGAAACCA